AAGAUCGGAACGGUGAACCCCAGCUUGCUGGGGGGAUCAGUGGCGAACGGGUGAGUAACACGUGAGUAACCUGCCCCUGACUCUGGGAUAAGCCUUGGAAACGAGGUCUAAUACCGGAUACGUGCCGCUCGGGCAUCCGAUGCGGUUGGAAAGAUUUAUCGGUCAGGGAUGGACUCGCGGCCUAUCAGCUUGUUGGUGGGGUAACGGCCCACCAAGGCGACGACGGGUAGCCGGCCUGAGAGGGCGACCGGCCACACUGGGACUGAGACACGGCCCAGACUCCUACGGGAGGCAGCAGUGGGGAAUAUUGCACAAUGGGCGCAAGCCUGAUGCAGCGACGCCGCGUGAGGGAUGAAGGCCUUCGGGUUGUAAACCUCUUUCAGCAGGGAAGAAGCGCAAGUGACGGUACCUGCAAAAGAAGCGCCGGCUAACUACGUGCCAGCAGCCGCGGUAAUACGUAGGGCGCAAGCGUUGUCCGGAAUUAUUGGGCGUAAAGAGCUCGUAGGCGGUUUGUCGCGUCUGCUGUGAAAACUCGAGGCUCAACCUCGGGCUUGCAGUGGGUACGGGCAGACUAGAGUGCGGUAGGGGAGACUGGAAUUCCUGGUGUAGCGGUGGAAUGCGCAGAUAUCAGGAGGAA
This 637-nucleotide ribosomal RNA is filed under the name Cellulomonas hominis. RNAcentral's name for it is "bacterial SSU rRNA". It matches the Rfam family "Bacterial small subunit ribosomal RNA", at positions 59 to 706 of the family's 1533-position model. The record is from RNAcentral. Lineage: Bacteria; Bacillati; Actinomycetota; Actinomycetes; Micrococcales; Cellulomonadaceae.